Molecule: ribosomal RNA, 496 nt
Filed under: uncultured bacterium
Lineage: Bacteria
Description: partial 16S ribosomal RNA
Rfam family: Bacterial small subunit ribosomal RNA
Source: RNAcentral
GAUGAACGCUGGCGGCGUGCCUAAUACAUGCAAGUCGAGCGAACGGACGAGAAGCUUGCUUCUCUGAUGUUAGCGGCGGACGGGUGAGUAACACGUGGAUAACCUACCUAUAAGACUGGGAUAACUUCGGGAAACCGGAUCUAAUACCGGAUGAUAUUUUGACCGCAUGGUUCAAAAGUGAAAGACGGUCUUGCUGUCACUUAUAGAUGGAUCCGCGCUGCAUUAGCUAGUUGGUAAGGUAACGGCUUACCAAGGCAACGAUGCAUAGCCGACCUGAGAGGGUGAUCGGCCACACUGGAACUGAGACACGGUCCAGACUCCUACGGGAGGCAGCAGUAGGGAAUCUUCCGCAAUGGGCGAAAGCCUGACGGAGCAACGCCGCGUGAGUGAUGAAGGUCUUCGGAUCGUAAAACUCUGUUAUUAGGGAAGAACAUAUGUGUAAGUAACUGUGCACAUCUUGACGGUACCUAAUCAGAAAGCCACGGCUAACUACGUG